This 494-nucleotide ribosomal RNA is filed under the name uncultured bacterium. Its description in RNAcentral is "partial 16S ribosomal RNA". It matches the Rfam family "Bacterial small subunit ribosomal RNA", at positions 28 to 507 of the family's 1533-position model. The record is from RNAcentral.
GACGAACGCUGGCGGCGCGCUUAACACAUGCAAGUCGAACGGAAAGGCCUGCUUUCCCUUGUGGUUUCCGGGUACUCGAGUGGGGAACGGGCGAGUAACACGUGAGUGAUCUGCCCCCAACUUGGGUAUAAGCCUGGGAAACUGGGUCUAAUUACCGAUUGGACUGCAGGGUGGUGCCGGUGGUGGCAGACGUUUUGCUAGUGGUAGGGGACUAGCCCGCGGCCUAUCAGCUUGUUGGUGGGGUAGUGGCCUACCAAGACGGGGACGAGUAGACGGACUGGGAGGGUGGACGGCCGAACUGGGACGGGGACACGGCCCCGACUGCUACGGGCAGUAGCAGUUGGGACGCAUGCGCCGUGGGCGUGAGCCUGAUGCAGCGACGCCGUGUGGGGGAUCACGGGCUUCGGGUUGUCUGCUCCUUGCGACCGCGAGGAGGCUACCUGGUUGGAAGGGUGGUGACGGUAGUGGUAGAAGAAGCACCGGCUAACUACGUG